Long non-coding RNA from Jaculus jaculus (lesser Egyptian jerboa), 344 nucleotides. RefSeq lists it as uncharacterized. The transcript is spliced from 3 exons. The record is from RefSeq and is a predicted model, not a curated record. NCBI's taxonomy places the organism in Eukaryota, Metazoa, Chordata, Mammalia, Rodentia, Dipodidae.
UUAUGGCUAUGGACCUAGGGAACCUAAGCGAAUCAAGAGGAACUCUAUCAGGAAAAAUUAGCAACAACUAAAAUUUCAAGUUAUGGAACAAAUUCUACGAGCUUCUGUAGACCCUCAUUUUGUCAACAGACCAUUAUAGACAUAAUGAAGCUCUGGCCGAGCCAGUUCAUUGCCUUCUGGGGAAGGAUGUGCUCUUGUGUCCUCAACUCCAGCUGGAGAAAGCUGUCUGAAAGAGUGACUGACUCCGCAAACACUUUCAAAUUCCUUUCAGAAUAAGACUUAACCGCCUUGUCGGCUGCCUUUUUGGUAAGCUGGAGAGAAUAUUGGACACAUUUGCCCCGUGC